CCUCCACAUGAAAGGACUGCUCUUACAUCCCACGAAAGACUGGCUUCUGCCAGUCAUAUUACUUCUAAUCAUUUCAAGCAACAUGUUAUACCCAUCAUACCUCCACAUGAAAGGACUGCUCUUACAUCCCACGAAAGACUCCCCAGUUGGAGUGAACAAAACUCGAUCUAGGAAAUGAUAUCCAAUCAAUGAGGACAUCUCAAAGGAACAGAGAUUCAGGAUUAUAUUCAGUAUUAUAUCAUGCUCGCGAUCAGUAUGCUGUCGACCUUGAAGUUACUUAUAACAGCUUGGGAGUCGGUGGAACAAAAAUAAGAACGAGUACGAUUUACGAGAAUUCUCUAGACGGUCUUCACGACAUAUCUUCAUGACCCUGCAGCAGCUACGUAGCCCCACGUGAGGUUAUGCCUGUCAAGUAAUCAAUGUCAUUUAAGCUCGACUCUAUCUUGGCCUUUUUCUUUUGACUUACGGUCGACAAUCAAAAAGGCGUGCCUUGUUUUUCGGAAAAAAUAGUAUGGACAGCGUGCCCUGGUCAGUUAAUUGAGCCUGGCGUCAUCCAACACUCGAGGGCAGCAGAAGGACGAUCCACAGCUCCCCGGCCGAAUUGCACUGGAGCGAGUCGACGAAGUAGCCAGCAUCCUUCUGAACUCAAUUCAAAGUCUUUUCGAUGUCCAACUUUGCUAAUGGCGGGUCCGCGAUUGCUGUCGCUUCAUGAUUAGAAUCAAACUUGUGGUUUCAAGGCGACCGAAAAGAAAUAACACUGGGCGGUGUUAAGCGAUAGAUGUUUUUUUUUUCGUAACAACUUCUGGAGGCCUAUUGCAUUCUUCAAAGCCUUCUUAUGAUUUCUGUCAAAUCAAGAAGGGGGACCAUCGGCAUUCAGCUUUCUACGUUGGAAAUAUGUUCCGCCAGUUUUCUGUUUCUUCCGGCUCUCUACUACGGAUGUUUUUAUUCGAUGCUGGCGGUCAAUUCUUUCAACCCGGAACUUUCGUCGUUUAAUAACUCAACAUUGUCGUGGCGCAUUCACCCCGGGCAAGUUUGGAUGGCCAUUUUCUCGUCAAUGAUGCGUUUUAGAACAUACAAAUCGUGUUGAUAUUUUGCGAUGCUGUGUAGAUGAGUCAAAUGAAUACAUGUGUAUUUACGAA
Molecule: unclassified non-coding RNA, 1139 nt
Filed under: Daphnia pulicaria
Lineage: Eukaryota; Metazoa; Arthropoda; Branchiopoda; Diplostraca; Daphniidae
Description: uncharacterized LOC124348532, transcript variant X1
Source: RNAcentral